RNAcentral lists this ribosomal RNA (741 nucleotides) under uncultured Staphylococcus sp. RNAcentral describes it as "bacterial SSU rRNA". It matches the Rfam family "Bacterial small subunit ribosomal RNA", at positions 57 to 780 of the family's 1533-position model. The record is from RNAcentral. Lineage: Bacteria; Bacillati; Bacillota; Bacilli; Caryophanales; Staphylococcaceae.
GCAAGUCGAGCGAACAGACGAGGAGCUUGCUCCUCUGACGUUAGCGGCGGACGGGUGAGUAACACGUGGAUAACCUACCUAUAAGACUGGGAUAACUUCGGGAAACCGGAGCUAAUACCGGAUAAUAUAUUGAACCGCAUGGUUCAAUAGUGAAAGACGGUUUUGCUGUCACUUAUAGAUGGAUCCGCGCCGCAUUAGCUAGUUGGUAAGGUAACGGCUUACCAAGGCAACGAUGCGUAGCCGACCUGAGAGGGUGAUCGGCCACACUGGAACUGAGACACGGUCCAGACUCCUACGGGAGGCAGCAGUAGGGAAUCUUCCGCAAUGGGCGAAAGCCUGACGGAGCAACGCCGCGUGAGUGAUGAAGGUCUUCGGAUCGUAAAACUCUGUUAUUAGGGAAGAACAAAUGUGUAAGUAACUAUGCACGUCUUGACGGUACCUAAUCAGAAAGCCACGGCUAACUACGUGCCAGCAGCCGCGGUAAUACGUAGGUGGCAAGCGUUAUCCGGAAUUAUUGGGCGUAAAGCGCGCGUAGGCGGUUUUUUAAGUCUGAUGUGAAAGCCCACGGCUCAACCGUGGAGGGUCAUUGGAAACUGGAAAACUUGAGUGCAGAAGAGGAAAGUGGAAUUCCAUGUGUAGCGGUGAAAUGCGCAGAGAUAUGGAGGAACACCAGUGGCGAAGGCGACUUUCUGGUCUGUAACUGACGCUGAUGUGCGAAAGCGUGGGGAUCAAACAGGAUUA